Molecule: ribosomal RNA, 483 nt
Filed under: uncultured bacterium
Lineage: Bacteria
Description: partial 16S ribosomal RNA
Rfam family: Bacterial small subunit ribosomal RNA
Source: RNAcentral
AUUGAACGCUGGCGGCAGGCCUAACACAUGCAAGUCGAGCGGAUGAAGGGAGCUUGCUCCUGGAUUCAGCGGCGGACGGGUGAGUAAUGCCUAGGAAUCUGCCUGGUAGUGGGGGAUAACGUCCGGAAACGGGCGCUAAUACCGCAUACGUCCUGAGGGAGAAAGUGGGGGAUCUUCGGACCUCACGCUAUCAGAUGAGCCUAGGUCGGAUUAGCUAGUUGGUAGGGUAAAGGCCUACCAAGGCGACGAUCCGUAACUGGUCUGAGAGGAUGAUCAGUCAAAGUGGAAUGGAGAACCGGCCCGGCACCCCACGGGGGGAGGCAGGGGGGAUAUUUGAAAAUGGGCGGAAACCUGAAACCAGCCUGGCGGGGGGGGGAAAAAAAGUUUUCGGUUUGUAAAGCUUUUUAAGGUGGGGGAAAGGGCAAUAAUUUAAUACCUUCCUGUUUUGACGUUACCAACAAAACAAGCAACGGCUAACUUCGU